This 1332-nucleotide long non-coding RNA is filed under the name Takifugu rubripes (torafugu). RNAcentral describes it as "lncRNA (ENSTRUG00000027852.1)". The record is from RNAcentral. Lineage: Eukaryota; Metazoa; Chordata; Actinopteri; Tetraodontiformes; Tetraodontidae.
GCCAGUUAAUAAAAGCCAGUGCACGGUGAUACUGUCUCAGGAAACUAUUAGAUAUGAAUGGAUCAAUGGAAUAAUGUUUGACAUCCUCUUGAAUUUGCACAUAAAUCUGUAAAUAAUUGUCCACAUAUACAGAUAUAUUUUGACAUUUGUUUUUGCUAGUUUUUCCACAGUGACAGAAUGCCUGGAAAUAAAGUAAGAUUUACAAAGACUGAAUAUGAUGAUGCAGAAGAUGAUAAUAUAAUUAAGAGGGCUCAUAUCGCCUCUGAACAACACGCCAUCAACCACAUAUUGAGGAACCUUAACAGUAACGUUGAGUUCAUUGCAAUACUGCCUACUGUCCUGCAGUUAAAGGUCGACUCUGUCAUAAACAGUGAGUUGAGCAGUGCACUCCAGGAACAUCUAAUGUUAGAGCAAAGGAUGGAGAUGCUAAAAGAUCACAAGCUGGUGUCAGAUGGGAAGAAUGAGACUACUCAGCUCGAGAAGAAGAUCAGAAGCUCUUUUAGGAAUCUGCUCAGGCUUUUGAAAGUCUAUCCUCUUCUCCUUUCUGCUUGGAAGAAAGAUUUGGGUAAGGAAAUAGGGAAGUUUGAAAAGGCACUAAUUAAAGAGCUUAAUAUAUUAGGAGGUCUGGAACCCAAGCCUCAGAUGGGUUCUCCCAAACCAGUUUGCUCUGAUCCAAACGACAUUGAUUUUGAACAAGACAAAGACCAAACUGCAACAAUGGAGGAGGUCAUUAUGAUGAUUUCUCAGAGAAGUCAUGGUAUUGACCAUUUGGAGCGUUCUCUGCAUAAGAAAAGAGAAGAGGAGAGUACAUUAGCGGAGCAGCUACAGGCUGCCUUUGAAGAAUCUGAAACAAUGCAGAAAAAACAGCAGCAGGAUGUUGAUCAUAUGAACGCUCAACUCAACGAUCUCAUGACCAGCAACUUUGAAGAAGAAGCUGCAAUCCGAUGGAGAAUCAAAAGGGUUGAUACAGUUACUGAACGCUUGACUGAAGAUUUUGAUGAAGAAAUGGAGGCCCUGCAGGAGAGCUUUGAGAGGGUAACAAAGGAGUAUGAGCAGGAGGUAGAAGAAGUGGAAAGGCUGGAGAUGCUUUAUUCUGAACUAGAUGUAGAGUACAGAAACAUUUUGGAGAACCGCCGGCUUGCAGAGGAGAAGAAGGAGAAGGAAGCGAAGCAGCUAAUGUUAAUGACAGAAGCUGCUCUUCUUAUCCAAGCAUGCUGGAGAGGCUAUGGUGUCCGCAAGGCCUUGAAGGAGAGAGGGAAAAAAGGCAAAGGCAAAAAGGGCAAAAAAGGUAAAGGAUCCAAGGGGAAGAAAAAAGCAGGCAAAAAGUCAUAG